Clupea harengus (Atlantic herring) is the source of this 669-nucleotide long non-coding RNA. The record is from Ensembl. NCBI's taxonomy places the organism in Eukaryota, Metazoa, Chordata, Actinopteri, Clupeiformes, Clupeidae.
CCAGCGUCUCUAAAUGAUCUUCUCUCUUCAGGCCCUCAGUGAUGACUCUGCUUCUCAUUACCAUACUGCUGUUCUCAGGUCAGUCUGCUCUUGACGUGUGUGUGUGUGUGUGUGUGUGUGUGUGUGUUAAUUUGUAUUUGUACUUAUAUGUGUACUAUAUGUGUGCGUGUUCAUGUAUGCUUAUCGACAGGCCCAGUUGUCUGUGAGUGUGUGUGGACGUGUUCAUUCUCCAUGUGUGUGGAUCUGUGUGUAUUCAGAUGUUUGUGUGUUUGUGUGUGUGUGUGUGUGUGUGUAUGUGUGUGUGUGUGUGUGUGUAGUCCUCCCUCCUGUCAAGUCUGUGACUCUCCUCCUCUCCUCUCAGAUCUGUGCAGUCUCUCCUCCUCUCCUCUCAGGUCUAUGCAGUCUCUCCUCCUCUCCUCUCCUCUCCUAUCCGAUCUGUGCAGUCACCCCUCCUCUCCUCUCUCCUCCUCUCCUCUCCUCUCCUAUCCGGUCUGUGCAGUCACCCCUCCUCUCCUCUCUCCUCCUCUCCUCACCUCUCCUAUCCGGUCUGUGCAGUCUCUCCUCCUGUCCUCUCCUAUCCUCUCAGGUCUGUGCAGUCACUCCUCCUCUCCUCUCCUUUCAGGUCUGUGCAGUCUCUCCUCCUGUGUGCCACGUCAGUUCCAUGUGGUG